CAAAAGUUGAAGAACUCGCAGUCGCAGUAUAAUUUUUAUAAUCUGUUUUGAUGUUGUAAUUAUACAAUCUCUAAGUAAUUUAGAAUUGUUGACUACUCAAGACAUCUGUUUAGUAAUUACCUUCUGCCUUUUCUUUUGUUUUCUGGUUCUGUUGGUUGUGUGUUAGAUCGUUUGAUAAUACUGGAGUUUUUAGUUUAAUACAAUUUUUUUAG
This 212-nucleotide unclassified non-coding RNA is filed under the name Hevea brasiliensis (rubber tree). The record is from RNAcentral. Lineage: Eukaryota; Viridiplantae; Streptophyta; Magnoliopsida; Malpighiales; Euphorbiaceae.